CUUGUAGACAUAAUAAAUAAGGAGUCGGACCUGCCCGGUGAGAAAUUUUCUUUAACGGCCGCGGUACUCUGACCGUGCAAAGGUAGCAUAAUCAUUUGCCUUAUAAUUGAAGGCUAGUAUGAAUGGUUUGACAAGAAUGUAGCUGUCUCUUUAUUGAUUUAGUAGAAUUUUAUUUUUAGGUGAAAAAGCCUAGACUUUAUUAAAAGACAAGAAGACCCUAUCGAGCUUUAAAAAAUUUAGUGGAUAAUUAACUGUAACCUAUAGACAAAUAAAAGGUGAUGCUGUUAAAUAUUUUGGUUGGGGCGACUGAGGAACAAAAGAAGCUUCCUUCGAACGAUUUUACGUACUGGUUUUGAUCCAAGUUUGUUGAUUAAGGGAAUUAGUUACCGUAGGGAUAACAGCAUUAUCUUCCUUGAGAGUUCAUAUCGAAAGGGGGGUUUGUGACCUCGAUGUUGGACCAGAAUGUCCUAAAGAUGCAGAAGUCUUUAAGGGUUGGUCUGUUCGACCAUUAAAAUUCUA
RNAcentral lists this ribosomal RNA (519 nucleotides) under Hastula lanceata. Its description in RNAcentral is "partial 16S ribosomal RNA". It matches the Rfam family "Bacterial large subunit ribosomal RNA", at positions 1822 to 2598 of the family's 2925-position model. The record is from RNAcentral. Lineage: Eukaryota; Metazoa; Mollusca; Gastropoda; Neogastropoda; Terebridae.